CCAAAAGCUGGCGACCAGCGCACGGGUGAGUAACACGUAUCCAACCUGCCUCAUACUCGGGGAUAGCCUUUCGAAAGAAAGAUUAAUAUCCGAUAGCAUAUAUUUCCCGCAUGGGUUUUAUAUUAAAGAAAUUCGGUAUGAGAUGGGGAUGCGUUCCAUUAGUUUGUUGGGGGGGUAACGGCCCACCAAGACUACGAUGGAUAGGGGUUCUGAGAGGAAGGUCCCCCACAUUGGAACUGAGACACGGUCCAA
RNAcentral lists this ribosomal RNA (252 nucleotides) under uncultured bacterium. RNAcentral describes it as "partial 16S ribosomal RNA". It matches the Rfam family "Bacterial small subunit ribosomal RNA", at positions 80 to 334 of the family's 1533-position model. The record is from RNAcentral.